GGGGGAUUAGCUCAGUUGGCCAGAGCACCUGCCCUGCAAGCAGGGGGCCAAGGGUUCGACUCCCUUAUCCUCCA
RNAcentral lists this transfer RNA (74 nucleotides) under Dysgonamonadaceae bacterium. Its description in RNAcentral is "tRNA-Ala". It matches the Rfam family "tRNA". Rfam says of the family: Transfer RNA (tRNA) molecules are approximately 80 nucleotides in length. Lineage: Bacteria; Pseudomonadati; Bacteroidota; Bacteroidia; Bacteroidales; Dysgonomonadaceae. The record is from RNAcentral.